MicroRNA precursor from Gossypium arboreum, 131 nucleotides. It matches the Rfam family "MIR7502 microRNA precursor family". Lineage: Eukaryota; Viridiplantae; Streptophyta; Magnoliopsida; Malvales; Malvaceae. The record is from Rfam.
UGUUGAAAACUUCAUCUAUUUCUACUGUUAAAAAUUGAAGUGACUGCUAGAAUAACCAGACAGUAAUACAUACCUCGUGGUGACAUACAGAAACUAGUUUUUAAUAGUAGAAAUAGAUAAAAUUUCUAACA